This 2974-nucleotide small RNA is filed under the name Pan troglodytes (chimpanzee). RNAcentral's name for it is "retained intron". Lineage: Eukaryota; Metazoa; Chordata; Mammalia; Primates; Hominidae. The record is from RNAcentral.
GCUUUUGCUGCUGUGGCUCAGCUGUUUCAGACAACUCAAGGCCAACAGCUUCAGCAGAUCCUUCAGACUUUUCAACAGCCUCCAAAACCACAGUCUCCUGCCCUUGACAAUGCCGUGAUGGCUCAGGUUCAGGCUAUCACAGCUCAGUUAAAGACAACUCCUACACAACCAUCUGAACAAAAAGCUGCUUUCCCCCCACCUGAACAGAAAACUGCAUUUGACAAGAUUUGACUAUGAUGAUGAGCCAGAAGCUGUGGAAGAAUCAAAGAAAGAGGAUACCACUGCCGUCACCACGACAGCACCUGCUGCCGCAGUACCCCCUGCACCCACCGCCACCGUGCCUGCUGCUGCUGCACCCGCUGCUGCCUCUCCUCCUCCUCCACAGGCACCAUUUGGCUUUCCUGGAGAUGGCAUGCAGCAGCCAGCAUACACACAGCAUCAAAAUAUGGAUCAGUUUCAGCCACGAAUGAUGGGAAUACAACAGGAUCCAAUGCACCAUCAGGUUCCACUUCCUCCUAAUGGACAAAUGCCAGGAUUUGGACUUCUUCCUACACCUCCAUUUCCUCCCAUGGCUCAGCCUGUGAUUCCUCCAACUCCACCAGUGCAGCAGCCUUUCCAAGCUUCUUUUCAGGCACAAAAUGAACCACUUACACAGAAGCCACAUCAGCAGGAAAUGGAAGUAGAACAACCUUGUAUUCAAGAGGUUAAGCGACAUAUGUCUGAUAACAGAAAGUCAAGAUCUAGGUCAGCAUCCAGGUCACCAAAAAGGAGGCGAUCUAGAUCUGGUUCUAGAUCUCGAAGGUCUCGGCAUCGACGUUCUCGAUCUCGGUCCAGGGAUAGACGCCGACAUUCUCCCCGAUCUCGAUCCCAAGAAAGACGGGAUCGAGAAAAAGAGAGAGAACGUCGACAAAAAGGCCUCCCUCAAGUGAAACCGGAAACUGCAAGUGUUUGCAGUACUACCCUCUGGGUGGGGCAGCUGGACAAAAGAACUACUCAGCAGGAUGUUGCCAGUCUCUUGGAAGAGUUUGGUCCAAUUGAAUCAAUUAAUAUGAUUCCUCCCAGGGGUUGUGCCUAUAUUGUUAUGGUUCAUAGGCAAGAUGCCUAUCGUGCCCUGCAGAAACUGAGCCGAGGAAACUAUAAAGUGAACCAGAAAUCCAUAAAGAUUGCCUGGGCCUUAAACAAAGGAAUAAAGGCAGAUUAUAAGCAGUAUUGGGAUGUAGAACUUGGUGUUACUUAUAUUCCAUGGGACAAAGUCAAGCCUGAGGAACUCGAGAGUUUUUGUGAAGGAGGAAUGUUGGACAGUGACACACUUAACCCAGAUUGGAAAGGAAUUCCUAAGAAGCCUGAAAAUGAAGUUGCUCAAAAUGGAGGUGCUGAAACCUCACACACAGAACCAGUAUCACCCAUACCUAAACCAUUACCUGUGCCUGUCCCUCCUAUUCCUGUUCCUGCACCUAUAACAGUGCCACCUCCACAGGUCCCACCACAUCAACCGGGUCCACCUGUAGUUGGUGCUCUCCAGCCGCCUGCUUUCACGCCUCCUCUGGGAAUACCGCCUCCAGGCUUUGGUCCUGGUGUUCCUCCUCCCCCUCCUCCUCCACCAUUUUUGCGCCCAGGAUUCAACCCAAUGCAUUUACCACCAGGUUUUCUGCCUCCUGGACCCCCACCUCCUAUAACUCCACCAGUAUCCAUUCCUCCUCCUCACACUCCACCAAUAAGCAUCCCAAACUCUACUAUCGCUGGUAUAAAUGAAGACACUACAAAAGACUUAUCUAUUGGAAAUCCCAUUCCAACAGUGGUGUCUGGGGCUAGAGGAAACGCCGAGUCUGGUGACAGCGUGAAAAUGUAUGGCUCUGCUGUGCCACCUGCUGCACCCACGAAUCUGCCCACCCCUCCUGUAACCCAGCCUGUUUCACUUCUUGGUAAGUUAUUUUUUUUUAUCAUUAGUUUUCCUUGCCCCACCCCCACCCACCCCCCCACCCAUCCCCAAGUUAGAUUUUUUUAAAAAAACAAUGUUAAUUUUGGUAAAAUUAUUUCCAAGACUGGCUUUUUUGGUUGUUUUGUUUGUUUGUUUGUUUUUGAGGAAGAUCUUCCUCUUAAAGUCAAAUAUGUGUACUUGAUCUUUACCAAGAGAGAAUCUCAAAGACAAAAUCAUGUUUGUCUGUCUUGAAUAAAAGUUUGGAUCUUCACAUCCUUAUUUGGUAUAGAAAAAUGAUUAAAAGUAAUCUCUGUGCAAAGGAAUUGGUACAGAGUUCGUAAUUCACUUAACCUUAGUCUCUUCCCAGCUUUUAGGAGAUACUUCUUUAACAGCCUAGGUUUUUCUCUGUCUGGACCAAUUAUUAUCUAUCUGAAACCCCUGGACUUGGGUAGCGUUCUUUGUGGGCUAGCAAAGAAAUCAUCUUUGAUACAUUCCAAUAAAAUGGCUUUGUUUUCUAAGUAACAGUUGCGCAGCCUGAGGUACCACUUUCCCACUCACUCUCAGUUUACUUGGCUGGAGUUUAUCUGUUGUACUUUUUACCCACAACUUCAAUACUGUGAUCAAGGGCGAUGUGACUUAGAUCUUUUACAUCUUUAAGCAGGCUUACUCUUGCCUGCUUAAGUUAUGAAUAAAUACAUCACAUGCUUGUUACAGUAGACCAUCUUUUAAAUUAACAAAUUGUUGUAUUUGAAGUGGUAUUGCCAAAUAUAAUUAACACUUGAAUCCCCUAAUUGGAAGUUAAUGUCUUGAGAGUAUUACAGUGUUCUAGUCCUGUGAGCCCAUAGUAUUUUUCAAAGGUAUAUGCAUAUGCCUGUUUGCUUUCAUAAUCUGAGUUGUUUUAGGAAAGAACCUAUUGAUUACCUCUGAGAUGUAGGACUGUGAGACAUUGGUUUGUAAUGGAGGACUUUUACUUUUCACCUAUGCUAUUCAGUACUGUUGGAAUUUUUUAUUUUUUGCAUGUACUAUAUUUAUAAUAAAAAACAAUUUGUUUUUAAA